UUGAAUCUUAGCAUGGUAUCAAGAGCCAAGGUUUUCUUGGUGUAAAAGUUUUUUUUCAUGGCUACUAAUGCGAUUUCAGACAGUGUACCAGCAGUUGACACACCACGUCACUCCUCUAACACUAGGGAGGCUGAGCAUUUGCAAGGAAAUGACACCUUUUGUGCACCAGCAGUUCACUACUUCUCUAAAUAUGAUACCAUCAAACUUGCUUCACACAAUUUUCUUUUAUGGAAG
This 234-nucleotide long non-coding RNA is filed under the name Gossypium barbadense (sea-island cotton). Its description in RNAcentral is "long non-coding RNA (GBAR_LNC014721)". Lineage: Eukaryota; Viridiplantae; Streptophyta; Magnoliopsida; Malvales; Malvaceae. The record is from RNAcentral.